RNAcentral lists this ribosomal RNA (2927 nucleotides) under Salmonella enterica subsp. enterica serovar Stanleyville. RNAcentral's name for it is "23S ribosomal RNA". It matches the Rfam family "Bacterial large subunit ribosomal RNA". The record is from RNAcentral. Lineage: Bacteria; Pseudomonadati; Pseudomonadota; Gammaproteobacteria; Enterobacterales; Enterobacteriaceae.
GGGUUGUGAGGUUAAGCGACUAAGCGUACACGGUGGAUGCCCUGGCAGUCAGAGGCGAUGAAGGGCGUGCUAAUCUGCGAUAAGCGCCGGUAAGGUGAUAUGAACCGUUAUAACCGGCGAUACCCGAAUGGGGAAACCCAGUGUGACUCGUCACACUAUCAUUAACUGAAUCCAUAGGUUAAUGAGGCGAACCGGGGGAACUGAAACAUCUAAGUACCCCGAGGAAAAGAAAUCAACCGAGAUUCCCCCAGUAGCGGCGAGCGAACGGGGAGGAGCCCAGAGCCUGAAUCAGCAUGUGUGUUAGUGGAAGCGUCUGGAAAGGCGCGCGAUACAGGGUGACAGCCCCGUACACAAAAGCGCAUGUGCUGUGAGCUCGAUGAGUAGGGCGGGACACGUGGUAUCCUGUCUGAAUAUGGGGGGACCAUCCUCCAAGGCUAAAUACUCCUGACUGACCGAUAGUGAACCAGUACCGUGAGGGAAAGGCGAAAAGAACCCCGGCGAGGGGAGUGAAAAAGAACCUGAAACCGUGUACGUACAAGCAGUGGGAGCACAGGUUUACCUGUGUGACUGCGUACCUUUUGUAUAAUGGGUCAGCGACUUAUAUUCUGUAGCAAGGUUAACCGAAUAGGGGAGCCGCAGGGAAACCGAGUCUUAAUUGGGCGUUAAGUUGCAGGGUAUAGACCCGAAACCCGGUGAUCUAGCCAUGGGCAGGUUGAAGGUUGGGUAACACUAACUGGAGGACCGAACCGACUAAUGUUGAAAAAUUAGCGGAUGACCUGUGGCUGGGGGUGAAAGGCCAAUCAAACCGGGAGAUAGCUGGUUCUCCCCGAAAGCUAUUUAGGUAGCGCCUCGUGAAUUCAUCUCCGGGGGUAGAGCACUGUUUCGGCUAGGGGGCCAUCCCGGCUUACCAACCCGAUGCAAACUGCGAAUACCGGAGAAUGUUAUCACGGGAGACACACGGCGGGUGCUAACGUCCGUCGUGAAGAGGGAAACAACCCAGACCGCCAGCUAAGGUCCCAAAGUCAUGGUUAAGUGGGAAACGAUGUGGGAAGGCCCAGACAGCCAGGAUGUUGGCUUAGAAGCAGCCAUCAUUUAAAGAAAGCGUAAUAGCUCACUGGUCGAGUCGGCCUGCGCGGAAGAUGUAACGGGGCUAAACCAUGCACCGAAGCUGCGGCAGCGACACUGUGUGUUGUUGGGUAGGGGAGCGUUCUGUAAGCCUGCGAAGGUGGCCUGUGAGGGUUGCUGGAGGUAUCAGAAGUGCGAAUGCUGACAUAAGUAACGAUAAAGCGGGUGAAAAGCCCGCUCGCCGGAAGACCAAGGGUUCCUGUCCAACGUUAAUCGGGGCAGGGUGAGUCGACCCCUAAGGCGAGGCCGAAAGGCGUAGUCGAUGGGAAACGGGUUAAUAUUCCCGUACUUGGUGUUACUGCGAAGGGGGGACGGAGAAGGCUAUGUUGGCCGGGCGACGGUUGUCCCGGUUUAAGCGUGUAGGUGUGUGUUCCAGGUAAAUCCGGUUCACUUUAACACUGAGGCGUGAUGACGAGGCACUACGGUGCUGAAGCAACAAAUGCCCUGCUUCCAGGAAAAGCCUCUAAGCAUCAGGUAACAUCAAAUCGUACCCCAAACCGACACAGGUGGUCAGGUAGAGAAUACCAAGGCGCUUGAGAGAACUCGGGUGAAGGAACUAGGCAAAAUGGUGCCGUAACUUCGGGAGAAGGCACGCUGACAUGUAGGUGAAGUGAUUUACUCAUGGAGCUGAAGUCAGUCGAAGAUACCAGCUGGCUGCAACUGUUUAUUAAAAACACAGCACUGUGCAAACACGAAAGUGGACGUAUACGGUGUGACGCCUGCCCGGUGCCGGAAGGUUAAUUGAUGGGGUCAGCGCAAGCGAAGCUCCUGAUCGAAGCCCCGGUAAACGGCGGCCGUAACUAUAACGGUCCUAAGGUAGCGAAAUUCCUUGUCGGGUAAGUUCCGACCUGCACGAAUGGCGUAAUGAUGGCCAGGCUGUCUCCACCCGAGACUCAGUGAAAUUGAACUCGCUGUGAAGAUGCAGUGUACCCGCGGCAAGACGGAAAGACCCGUGAACCUUUACUAUAGCUUGACACUGAACAUUGAGCCUUGAUGUGUAGGAUAGGUGGGAGGCUUUGAAGUGUGGACGCCAGUCUGCAUGGAGCCGACCUUGAAAUACCACCCUUUAAUGUUUGAUGUUCUAACGUGGACCCGUGAUCCGGGUUGCGGACAGUGUCUGGUGGGUAGUUUGACUGGGGCGGUCUCCUCCUAAAGAGUAACGGAGGAGCACGAAGGUUGGCUAAUCCUGGUCGGACAUCAGGAGGUUAGUGCAAUGGCAUAAGCCAGCUUGACUGCGAGCGUGACGGCGCGAGCAGGUGCGAAAGCAGGUCAUAGUGAUCCGGUGGUUCUGAAUGGAAGGGCCAUCGCUCAACGGAUAAAAGGUACUCCGGGGAUAACAGGCUGAUACCGCCCAAGAGUUCAUAUCGACGGCGGUGUUUGGCACCUCGAUGUCGGCUCAUCACAUCCUGGGGCUGAAGUAGGUCCCAAGGGUAUGGCUGUUCGCCAUUUAAAGUGGUACGCGAGCUGGGUUUAGAACGUCGUGAGACAGUUCGGUCCCUAUCUGCCGUGGGCGCUGGAGAACUGAGGGGGGCUGCUCCUAGUACGAGAGGACCGGAGUGGACGCAUCACUGGUGUUCGGGUUGUCAUGCCAAUGGCACUGCCCGGUAGCUAAAUGCGGAAGAGAUAAGUGCUGAAAGCAUCUAAGCACGAAACUUGCCCCGAGAUGAGUUCUCCCUGAGACUUAGAGUCUCCUGAAGGAACGUUGAAGACGACGACGUUGAUAGGCCGGGUGUGUAAGCGCAGCGAUGCGUUGAGCUAACCGGUACUAAUGAACCGUGAGGCUUAACCUUACAACGCCGAAG